AUUGAACGCUGGCGGCAAGCCUAACACAUGCAAGUCGAACGAGUGGCGGACGGGUGAGUAAUGUCUGGGAAACUGCCUGAUGGAGGGGGAUAACUAAUGGAAAAGGUAGCUAAUACCGCAUACCAUCGGAUGUGCCCAGAUGGGAUUAGCGAGUAGGUGGGGUAAAGGCUCACCUAGGCUACGAUCCCUAGCUGGUCUGAGAGGAUGUCCAGCCACACUGGAACUGAUACAAGGUACAGGCUCCGUCGGGAGGCAGCAGUGGGGAAUAUUGAACAAUGGGCGCAAGCCUGAUGCAGCCAUGCCUCGUGUAUGAAGAAGGCCUUCGGGUUGUAAAGUACUUUCAGCUGGGAGGCGUUACCCGCAGAAGAAGCACCGGCUAACUCCGUGCCAGCAGCCGCGGUAAUAC
RNAcentral lists this ribosomal RNA (406 nucleotides) under uncultured bacterium. Its description in RNAcentral is "partial 16S ribosomal RNA". It matches the Rfam family "Bacterial small subunit ribosomal RNA", at positions 30 to 526 of the family's 1533-position model. The record is from RNAcentral.